CGCAAGCCUGACGGAGCAAGACCGCGUGGGGGAGGAAUGCCUUAGGGUUGUAAACCCCUUUUAUCUGGGAAGAACAAAAUGACGGUACCAGAUGAAUAAGCCUCGGCUAACUCCGUGCCAGCAGCCGCGGUAAUACGGAGGAUGCAAGCGUUAUCCGGAAUUAUUGGGCGUAAAGCGUCCGUAGGCGGUUUAGAAAGUCAGUUGUUAAAGCCCACAGCUCAACUGUGGAUCGGCAAUUGAAACUACUAGACUAGAGAGUGGUAGGGGUAGAGGGAAUUCCUAGUGUAGCGGUGAAAUGCGUAGAUAUUAGGAAGAACACCAGUGGCGAAGGCGCUCUACUGGGCCAUUACUGACGCCGAUGGACGAAAGCUAGGGGAGCG
This 380-nucleotide ribosomal RNA is filed under the name uncultured cyanobacterium. Its description in RNAcentral is "bacterial SSU rRNA". It matches the Rfam family "Bacterial small subunit ribosomal RNA", at positions 376 to 770 of the family's 1533-position model. The record is from RNAcentral. Lineage: Bacteria; Bacillati; Cyanobacteriota.